GGUCGGUGGAAAUCUCCCGCGAAGCAGAGUCCUGAUUGGACUCAGGAGGUGGGCGGGCGCCCUGACCAACUGGGCGGGCGCCCAGGGUCUGGCCCCGUUUCACCUCCGCUUCGGUCUCGUGGCUUCUAGAGUCUUCUAGAUGUAAGAUAAUUGCGCGGCACGUUAAUAUCUCUAUGUAAUCCCGACGUGUGGGCCUUUCUUCCGUAUUUCCUGAUAACCCCCUGCAGAAAUAGACAAACACCAAAACUCGUGGAAUUCUGUCAGAUAAAACCCUAAGUCUAG
RNAcentral lists this long non-coding RNA (282 nucleotides) under Sorghum bicolor (sorghum). RNAcentral describes it as "long non-coding RNA (SBIC_LNC008429)". The record is from RNAcentral. Lineage: Eukaryota; Viridiplantae; Streptophyta; Magnoliopsida; Poales; Poaceae.